AUUUUUACUGCUUUUAUGUCCUCCAGACUUUCAGUCUCUGCGUCAGAGUGCGGGCAGUCGGUAGAUGUUAAUCGGAGACACACAACGUAUUCCUUGAACAGCCCGACUUGUUUCACUCGGUGUAUGGUGAGGAGUGGAGAAA
Tupaia belangeri chinensis (Chinese tree shrew) is the source of this 142-nucleotide long non-coding RNA. RefSeq lists it as uncharacterized. The record is from RefSeq and is a predicted model, not a curated record. NCBI's taxonomy places the organism in Eukaryota, Metazoa, Chordata, Mammalia, Scandentia, Tupaiidae. The transcript is spliced from 4 exons.